GAUGCUUUCCAUGCAGUCGAACGGCAGCACGGGACUCAGGCAACUGAGCCCUGGUGGCGAGUGGCGAACGGGUGAGUAAUGUAUCGGAACGUACCCAGUCGUGGGGGAUAACUCUCCGAAAGGAGAGCUAAUACCGCAUACGUCCUGAGGGAGAAAGCGGGGAACCCCAAGGGUAACUGAGGGGCCUCGCGCGAUUGGAGCGGCCGAUAUCGGAUUAGCUAGUUGGUGGGGUAAAGGCUCACCAAGGCGACGAUCCGUAGCGGGUCUGAGAGGACGACCCGCCACACUGGAACUGAGACACGGUCCAGACUCCUACGGGAGGCAGCAGUGGGGAAUUUUGGACAAUGGGGGCAACCCUGAUCCAGCCAUUCCGCGUGAGUGAAGAAGGCCUUCGGGUUGUAAAGCUCUUUCAGCGGGAACGAAACGGUCGACCCUAAUACGGUCGGCUAAUGACGGUACCUGCAGAAGAAGCACCGGCUAACUACGUGCCAGCAGCCGCGGUAAUACGUAGGGUGCGAGCGUUAAUCGGAAUUACUGGGCGUAAAGCGUGCGCAGGCGGUGACAUAAGACAGAUGUGAAAUCCCCGGGCUCAACCUGGGAACUGCGUUUGUGACUGUGUCGCUCGAGUGUAGCAGAGGGGGGUGGAAUUCCACGUGUAGCAGUGAAAUGCGUAGAGAUGUGGAGGAACACCGAUGGCGAAGGCAGCCCCCUGGGUUAACACUGACGCUCAUGCACGAAAGCGUGGGGAGCAAACAGGAUUAGAUACCCUGGUAGUCCACGCCCUAAACGAUGCCAACUAGGUGUUGGGGAAGGAGACUUCCUUAGUGCCGUAGCUAACGCGUGAAGUUGGCCGCCUGGGGAGUACGGUCGCAAGAUUAAAACUCAAAGGAAUUGACGGGGACCCGCACAAGCGGUGGAUGAUGUGGAUUAAUUCGAUGCAAC
Molecule: ribosomal RNA, 942 nt
Filed under: uncultured bacterium
Lineage: Bacteria
Description: bacterial SSU rRNA
Rfam family: Bacterial small subunit ribosomal RNA
Source: RNAcentral